Molecule: ribosomal RNA, 339 nt
Filed under: uncultured bacterium
Lineage: Bacteria
Description: bacterial SSU rRNA
Rfam family: Bacterial small subunit ribosomal RNA
Source: RNAcentral
GCAUAUCAUUUGACGUUAGCUGCAGAAGAAGCACCGGCUAACUCCGUGCCAGCAGCCGCGGUAAUACGGAGGGUGCGAGCGUUAAUCGGAAUUACUGGGCGUAAAGCGCAUGCAGGUGGUUUGUUAAGUCAGAUGUGAAAGCCCGGGGCUCAACCUCGGAAUUGCAUUUGAAACUGGCAAACUAGAGUACUGUAGAGGGGGUAGGAAUUUCAGGUGUAGCGGUGAAAUGCGUAGAGAUCUGAAGGAAUACCGGUGGCGAAGGCGGCCCCCUCGGACAGAUACUGACACUCAGAUGACGAAAGCGGUGGGGAGACAAACAGGAUUAGACUACCCUGGUAG